CGAAAGAGGAAGGUCCUUUGCCAGGAGACAUGAGAGGACGCGAACUUGCAUACAGACUUGGGAGCAAAGUUUGUGGGUCCAACUUCCAUAAAGCAAUUGCCACUACUGGAAAAAUCUAGAUUAUAUAUUUCAAAGAAGUAUCAACAUUAUAAAAUGCAGAAAUGUUCUUUCUCUAAAGUAUGGACACCUUAACGAAACCUGACAUACUGCAUGUUUGUCUUUUAUUUUAUUAAAAGAAAUCAGUCAUAAAAUGAAGAUUCCUAAACCAAAA
Molecule: long non-coding RNA, 271 nt
Organism: Mastomys coucha (southern multimammate mouse)
Lineage: Eukaryota; Metazoa; Chordata; Mammalia; Rodentia; Muridae
Exons: 2
Source: RefSeq, a predicted model, not a curated record